GAUGAACGCUGGCGGCGUGCCUAAUACAUGCAAGUAGAACGCUGAAGGAGGAGCUUGCUCUUCUGGAUGAGUUGCGAACGGGUGAGUAACGCGUAGGUAACCUGCCUGGUAGCGGGGGAUAACUAUUGGAAACGAUAGCUAAUACCGCAUGACAACAGUUAUUGCAUGAUAACUGUUUAAAAGGGGCAACUGCUCCACUACCAGAUGGACCUGCGUUGUAUUAGCUAGUUGGUGAGGUAACGGCUCACCAAGGCGACGAUACAUAGCCGACCUGAGAGGGUGAUCGGCCACACUGGGAAUGAGACACGGCCCAGACUCCUACGGGAGGCAGCAGUAGGGAAUCUUCGGCAAUGGACGGAAGUCUGACCGAGCAACGCCGCGUGAGUGAAGAAGGUUUUCGGAUCGUAAAGCUCUGUUGUAAGAGAAGAACGAGUGUGAGAGUGGAAAGUUCACACUGUGACGGUAUCUUACCAGAAAGGGACGGCUAACUACGUG
RNAcentral lists this ribosomal RNA (495 nucleotides) under uncultured bacterium. RNAcentral describes it as "partial 16S ribosomal RNA". It matches the Rfam family "Bacterial small subunit ribosomal RNA", at positions 28 to 507 of the family's 1533-position model. The record is from RNAcentral.